RNAcentral lists this ribosomal RNA (429 nucleotides) under uncultured bacterium. RNAcentral's name for it is "bacterial SSU rRNA". It matches the Rfam family "Bacterial small subunit ribosomal RNA", at positions 355 to 776 of the family's 1533-position model. The record is from RNAcentral.
UGGGGAAUAUUGGACAAUGGGGGAAACCCUGAUCCAGCAAUGCCGCGUGUGCGAUGAAGGCCUGCGGGUUGUAAAGCACUUUCGGUGGGGAAGAAAUACUCAAAGAUAAUCUCUUUGAGGGCUGACAUUACCCACAGAAGAAGCACCGGCAAACUCUGUGCCAGCAGCCGCGGUAAUACAGAGGGUGCAAGCGUUAAUCGGAGUUACUGGGCGUAAAGGGCGCGUAGGCGGUUACUUAAGUCGGAUGUGAAAUCCCUGGGCUCAACCUAGGAAUUGCAUUUGAUACUGAGUAUCUAGAGUAUGGUAGAGGAAAGUGGAAUUCUCGGUGUAGUGGUAAAAUACGUAGAUAUCGAGAAGAACGCCGGUGGCGAAGGCGGCUUUCUGGACCAAUACUGACGCUGAGGCGCGAAAGCGUGGGGAGCAAACAGG